GUAUUUAUACUUCUAGGUUAUUUCUAGAGGCAAAAACGGUAUCGAUUUAGAGGUUAAGUUCAAGUUAUAAAUUUACAAUAUUACAUUAUUAAUGCAAGUAAAUUUCAUUUACUGCAACAUUACUGCAGAUUCACUUAAGGAAAGUAAAUAGCAAUUUCUCAAGUAGAAAAGUGUUAAGCUUAUCUAUGUUAAAAGCUGAAAUGGUACAAUUUUGUAUCACUAAAAUACUAGAUAAUGUAGCACAUGCUCACUGAUAUCUUGUUGAAACUUGCUGCUGGUUGAAACUGAUGUAUGUCUGGUUAACAUUUUAUCAAGUAUCAGAAACGCAAAGUGCCAGUAAUAUCGGCCCCCUCAUUACUGCUGAGUAACCGAGAAAGCUUUCCAAAAGACAAAGUUGUUCAACGACAACAAAACAUGUCACAAAGUCCGCAUCGUAGUCGGCUCAUCGUGUGUGUUGGUUUUCAUACUGCAUUUAAGAAACAUUCUAAUACAAAUAUCAAAUAAUAACAUUGUUAUUAACGUAGACAUUAUGCAAUCUGUUUAUAAAAUGCAAUCUAUUCUAUUUUGUACUUUACAAGAUACCUAUAAUUCUAUUUGUGUUCAUUUGUGCUUUAAAUAACAACGUUAAAUUCAAAAUUGUAGUAGAUACAUUUUUUUGUACUCAAAAUAGUGUGUGAAUUAACUUAUCAUUUACAUAACCUUUAGACUAUGUAUUCCAAUAAUUGAGGUUUAGAACAGUUUGGGGUGAA
This is a long non-coding RNA of Nilaparvata lugens (brown planthopper), 749 nucleotides long. RefSeq lists it as uncharacterized. The transcript is spliced from 4 exons. NCBI's taxonomy places the organism in Eukaryota, Metazoa, Arthropoda, Insecta, Hemiptera, Delphacidae. The record is from RefSeq and is a predicted model, not a curated record.